GAUGAACGCUGGCGGCGUGCUUAACACAUGCAAGUCGAACGAAGCACCUUGAUCUGAUUCUUCGGAUGAAGAUCCUGGUGACUGAGUGGCGGACGGGUGAGUAACGCGUGGGUAACCUGCCUCAUACAGGGGGAUAACGGUUAGAAAUGACUGCUAAUACCGCAUAAGACCACAGCACCGCAUGGUGCAGGGGUAAAAACUCCGGUGGUAUGAGAUGGACCCGCGUCUGAUUAGGUAGUUGGUGGGGUAACGGCCUACCAAGCCGACGAUCAGUAGCCGACCUGGGAGGGUGACCGGCCACAGUGGGACUGAGACACGGCCCAAACUCCUACGGGAGGCAGCAGUGGGGAAUAUUGCACAAUGGGGGAAACCCUGAUGCAGCGACGCCGCGUGAGCGAUGAAGUAUUUCGGUAUGUAAAGCUCUAUCAGCAGGGAAGAAAAUGACGGUACCUGACUAAGAAGCACCGGCUAAAUACGUGCCAGCCGCCGCCGUAA
Molecule: ribosomal RNA, 495 nt
Filed under: uncultured bacterium
Lineage: Bacteria
Description: partial 16S ribosomal RNA
Rfam family: Bacterial small subunit ribosomal RNA
Source: RNAcentral